AUUACAGUCAGUGCAGUAUCUCAUAUGUUCUGGCUUUUCACAAAGUCUUGGAUUCUUCUUUUUCCUUUAAUUGAUCAUUAUGCAAGUGUGAUUUGCUUUAUUGGUGCCCUUUGAUGAGCAAAGGCUUAGUUGUUGUUAUUUAUUAUCCUCCUUUUCUUCAUAAGCUUUUGUCAUUGAAUCGUUUUCUCCUUUGCCCUUCAGCUACCAAAUGGGAAAAUAACAAUUUCAGCACUGGAAUGUGAUACCAAAAGCAUAAUGCUUUUGUUUGCUUUAUUCUCUCUGUGAUUUCUUUUGCUCUUGAUUUUGGUGUGUGAUUAAUUUUUCUAAUUGUUCUCAACGUUUCUUUAGAAGUUUGGAUGUGAAUAACAGAGGGGUAUUAAAGAAUGAGUUUUAACUUUUCUCAGAAGAAAAGUUGAAAGAAUGACCAUUGGAAAAG
This 436-nucleotide unclassified non-coding RNA is filed under the name Hevea brasiliensis (rubber tree). Lineage: Eukaryota; Viridiplantae; Streptophyta; Magnoliopsida; Malpighiales; Euphorbiaceae. The record is from RNAcentral.